This 514-nucleotide ribosomal RNA is filed under the name uncultured Glomus. RNAcentral's name for it is "SSU rRNA". It matches the Rfam family "Eukaryotic small subunit ribosomal RNA", at positions 569 to 1085 of the family's 1831-position model. The record is from RNAcentral. Lineage: Eukaryota; Fungi; Glomeromycota; Glomeromycetes; Glomerales; Glomeraceae.
AGCAGCCGCGGUAAUUCCAGCUCCAAUAGCGUAUAUUAAAGUUGUUGCAGUUAAAAAGCUCGUAGUUGAAUUUCGGGAUCAAUUUAUUGGUCGUGCAAUAGUACGUACUGGUAUUAUUGGUUCCUACCUUCUGAUGAACCAUGAUGUCAUUAAUUUGGUGUUAUGGGGAAUCAGGACUGUUACUUUGAAAAAAUUAGAGUGUUUAAAGCAGGCUCACGCUUGAAUACAUUAGCAUGGAAUAAUGAAAUAGGACGUUUGAUUCUAUUUUGUUGGUUUCUAGGAUCGACGUAAUGAUUAAUAGGGAUAGUUGGGGGCAUUAGUAUUCAAUUGUCAGAGGUGAAAUUCUUGGAUUUAUUGAAGACUAACUACUGCGAAAGCAUUUGCCAAGGAUGUUUUCAUUAAUCAAGAACGAAAGUUAGGGGAUCGAAGACGAUCAGAUACCGUCGUAGUCUUAGCCAUAAACUAUGCCGACUAGGGAUCGGAUGAUGUUAAUUUUUAAUGUACUCGUUCGUCG